Long non-coding RNA from Pan troglodytes (chimpanzee), 985 nucleotides. RefSeq lists it as uncharacterized. The record is from RefSeq and is a predicted model, not a curated record. The transcript is spliced from 2 exons. Lineage: Eukaryota; Metazoa; Chordata; Mammalia; Primates; Hominidae.
CAGGGCGGCCCGGCUGUGUCCCUGCGUCCCAGGGGCUGGGCGCGCCCGGCCUGCCCAGCGGGGGAUGCGGGGCGCUGUCACUUCCUCCCAGCAGCCGGGCAGGGGCGGGGGGCUGGCCGCGCGUCGCAUGGUAUGUGGAGUUCGGGGGACGGCACGGGGAGGACGGGGUUGUGGGGCGCGGAGCCAUUGUCCGACGACGGCUCCUGAUAGGCCGCCUGGAUGGGGCGCGCUUGGCCGCGUUCCCGCGUCACAGACCGGCUCCAGCUGCGGGAGAGCCCGUCCUACCCCAACUCCCCAGCCGCCCGUCUGAAGUGUUCCGGUAUCACCGUGGCCACAAGGAGGCAGGGGACGGGGGCUUCCUGAAGGAGGCCCCCUAAGGGGAAGGGGGCUACAAGGCUGGCCAGAGUGCUGGCCGCGCGGCUGUGCACAGGGCCUUGAGCCCCUCCGGUCAUCAAGCCUUGCUUGAAAUGCGUAAAUGCGGAAAGGUGAAGUGGCUGACCCGGGUCACACCACUUUAAGUAGCGGAGUGGGGUUCCUAGCCAGGCCUAUGGGACUCCCACUGGAGCCUUUCCCCCUCUGGGGCUAGGGCUGGACCCACAGGCUGCUGGAGCAGGCAGAAGGGGAGGGGCCCAAGGCCCAGACUCCAGGGCCUCGUCUGGAUCAUCAACCCGGCUUUGCCCAUUCAGCGCAGGCCUCCGUUUCCAGGCCUGUUUCCCCAUCCACACUGUCUCUCAGGAUGAGGAAACUGAGGCACAGAGCGGUCCAGUCAUGUGCCAGCUAGUGGUGAAGCUAGGAUCCCCUUCACUAAGCACAGUGUUAUCUUGCUUCUCCUCCAACGUUGCUCAGCGUCUGAAAUUCAGCUUGAUGUAUUUAAGUCAGACACAAGAAAGGACUUCCAGACCAAGGAGUUUCGAUGCAGAAAUGGGAGGUACUAUCCUUCACUCCUUUUUCACCUUGAAAAAAAUUUUUCCCAAUCUUUUUAUUA